UACGUAGGGACCAAGCGUUGUUCGGAUUUACUGGGCGUAAAGGGCGCGUAGGUGGCCUGCUAAGCGUGCGGUGAAAGCUCGGGGCUCAACCCCGAGUCGGCCGUGCGAACUGGUGGGCUUGAGCACUGUAGAGGCAGGCGGAAUUCCGGGUGUAGCGGUGGAAUGCGUAGAGAUCCGGAAGAACACCGGUGGCGAAGGCGGCCUGCUGGGCAGUAGCUGACACUGAGGCGCGACAGCGUGGGGAGCAAACAGG
RNAcentral lists this ribosomal RNA (253 nucleotides) under uncultured bacterium. Its description in RNAcentral is "partial 16S ribosomal RNA". It matches the Rfam family "Bacterial small subunit ribosomal RNA", at positions 524 to 776 of the family's 1533-position model. The record is from RNAcentral.